AAGAAGUCAAAUUGUCCCUCUUUGCAGAUGACAUGAUUGUAUAUCUAGAAAACCCCAUUGUCUCAGCCCAAAAUCUCCUUAAGCUGAUAAGUAACCUCAGCAAAGUCUCAGGAUACAAAAUCAGUGUACAAAAAUCACAAGCAUUCUUAUACACCAAUAACAGACAAACAGAGAGCCAAAUCAUGAGUGAACUCCCAUAUGCAAUUGCUUCAAAGAGAAUAAAAUACUUAGGAAUCCAAUUUACAAGGGACGUGAAGGACCUCUUCAAGGAGAACUACAAACCACUGCUCAAUGAAAUAAAAGAGGAU
RNAcentral lists this long non-coding RNA (308 nucleotides) under Homo sapiens (human). RNAcentral's name for it is "HSALNT0072092". The record is from RNAcentral. Lineage: Eukaryota; Metazoa; Chordata; Mammalia; Primates; Hominidae.